Molecule: unclassified non-coding RNA, 337 nt
Filed under: soil metagenome
Description: partial contains 5.8S ribosomal RNA, internal transcribed spacer 2, and large subunit ribosomal RNA
Rfam family: 5.8S ribosomal RNA (bases 1-120)
Source: RNAcentral
GAUGAAGAACGCAGCGAAAUGCGAUAAGUAAUGUGAAUUGCAGAAUUCAGUGAAUCAUCGAAUCUUUGAACACACAUUGCGCCCGCCAGUAUUCUGGCGGGCAUGCCUGUUCGAGCGUCAUUUCAACCAUCAAGCCCCCCGGCUUGUGUUGGGGACCUGCGGCUGCCGCAGGCCCUGAAAAGCAGUGGCGGGCUCGCUGUCACACCGAGCGUAGUAGCAUACAUCUCGCUCUGGGCGUGCUGCGGGUUCCGGCCGUUAAACCACCUUCAUAACCCAAGGUUGACCUCGGAUCAGGUAGGAAGACCCGCUGAACUUAAGCAUAUCAAUAAGCGGAGGA